AAAGUCUCCAGCAUUUCAUCAUAUGUUCUCAGCAACUGCAUGAAAAGAAGCUUCUUUCCCAUUCCAUCUAUCAGAAGCCCCCGGUACCAGGCUCUAAAAUGACCAACCUGGGUCAAGUGUUCAUUCUUGUACUCUUCUCUAUGGCCAGAGGUUCACAGGUGCUGUGAUGUCUUUCACAGGCAAUGGAUAAAGCAUCCUGCAUUGUCCUAGGCACACUCUGUAGGGAAGAUAUGGGAAUCUGAAGUCAACUUUGCCAAAAUUGUGAGGAUUGCUAAUGUGAGAUGAGAAUCUACUCACAAACAUUAAGAAGGUAACAUGAUGAGUGAAGUAAAGGUAGGUUAUAGUUGAAAGAGCCACAGGAAACUCUGUGUCCUUGCUUCCCUUUCACGCGUAUGGACUCAUAUUCCAUGAUUGAAAGGUUAUCUUCUGGAAGCCUACUGUUUUACCUUUCAGAGUUUGGUCUACAACACACCUAAACUGAUGUUUGUGUAUGGUAUGAGGGGCUGCUACUAAGAGAAAGCAUGCUCUCAGAUAACCGUUUUCAGAUAACGUCGAGAAAGUGAGAGUAUACACAGAUCAACAUGAUGGUCCACUUAACGGGGGAAGAGAGUAAAAUGUUGGUGUCACUGACAAGGAUGGCAACAUUUAAAUGUUCAGAUCCUUACAGGAGAAGCAUUGCAGUCACUUGACAAUCUCAAGCUAUGUGUUUCUUCAGUGCUUCUUGAAAACAUUUAUAAUACAGAAGAUGGUUUUAAAAAAUGUAUAACUUUUUCAAUGAAAAUGUGAAUUUCAACACCUUAAAAAGCAUAUUAUACUACUGUGAAGUGCUCAUGGUUCAUUUUAUUUAACUCACCUUCUAGAUAACUUCUUAGAAAAAUAGGACUCAAUUUAAUUUUAAAAUCAUUUUAAAAUUACAUGAAAUGACAUAAGGAGAUGAAUGCAAUAGUUGCUAAUGUUUCUUGGAGGAGUCAUGGGGCAAA
This 980-nucleotide long non-coding RNA is filed under the name Homo sapiens (human). RNAcentral describes it as "HSALNT0173483". Lineage: Eukaryota; Metazoa; Chordata; Mammalia; Primates; Hominidae. The record is from RNAcentral.